CAGAAAGGAAGAAAUACAAAUAAACUUUCAUAAUUAUGCUUAUAAACUGUAAAUUAACUUGCAAAAAAAUCUGCAACAGCAGCAGUAUCUUUGCCUUCAUUUCUUUCAGUAACUUAAUUUCUGCUCAUUUCAAAUGCUCCCAUGAUGCUGUUCAGCAUUUUAGUAUUUGGAUUUGCUAUAGGCAAAUGCCAAGACUCCCAAGGAGCUACUUCCUCUUGACCUUAACUGCCUUCAGUCCUUGCGUGCAGACAAUGGAGCCCUCAGCUUUCUGCAGUUGCUGCCAACAGAAGGAUCUGAGUGUGAGCAUGUAUCACUCUACUUGGGUUUAAUAACAGCACCUGCUCUUUCUCUGAACUUGAUGUUCUUCAGUUUGCAAACUCUGUGCAUAGUUUCACCUUGUGUCCACCGUGUUGGAGAAGCCCCUGUUACUUUGCAGUUAACACAUUUGCCUUGUUCAUUUUAGGUAAGGAGGUUUGGGGGAGGGGGAUGCUUCUUUUCUAGCAAUACGUGUGCCACUGCUGUAUGCCUUGGCAAAUGCCACCGCAGCAGCAUGUCUUGAAUACAGAUACAUUUACAGCAAGAGCUUGGAGCUUCUUGGAGCAGUUUGAGGAGUGGUAUGGCAGAUAGAAUAGGGCAAGCCAGAAUAUUAAGUGCCACAAACUUUGACUUUUUCCACACAUUGUAAACACUGGCUCACCAGGGCUUUGCCAGUGAAUAGGUAGAAGGGGCUGACUAUGUGUGUUCAGACACCACUGUGGGGACCAAGGUCUUUUGUUGUUAUUGUUGCUGCUGCUUCAGUAGUAGAGAUUUUGUAGUCAAAUUUAAAAAACCGAAGAGACCUCUGGACAAAUUCAGAUUCUCAUCUGUCAUAUUCUGGCUACAGGUGUACAUACUUCCCUGCCUAAGCUUCAGAUUUUUUUUUAAAUCACUUUUUUUAUUAUUAACCAAAUUGGUAAAAAUGAUACCUGUAUUGUAGACUGAGCUGCAACCAGAGUGAGACAAAAAACGGGCCCUCCCCUCACAUUCAUGGAAGGACAUUGCUCUUCCUAACCAGUACAAGGAUUUUCCAGGAAAGUGUCCAGCUAAUGGCAAGUUUGUGUUGAAGGACGUUGCUGAAGAUGGGAUGUUGCAAGGAUAACCACCAGACUGAAUCUGUGUUAGAUGACGCAUAAACCAGUUGUUUCUUAAAACUUCUUUUUUUAAUAUGUCUGUGUGCCUCAGCACAUGUAUGUGCUCCCCGUGCCUGCAGGUGCCCGUGAAGGGUAGAAGUGCAUGUCCAUUGGUCCCUGUGGAACUGGAGUUACAGGCGUUUGUGAGCCACCUCAUGUGGGUGCUGGGAACCAUACCUGGGCCAUCUGCAGGGGCAGCAAAUGUUCUUAACCACUGAGCCUCUCUCCAGCUUCUUGAAAUUAAUUUUUCAAUUGUGAGGUUGCAAAACCAUCAGUAUUUAAUAUAAAGCAGUGGAGGAGGAGUUAUACCUGUUUUUGAACUUAUAUGCCAGGCACUGUGAUAGACUUACAAACAGCCCAGCAAAAGUAAGAGCCAUUAUUCCCAUCAUUAAGAGGAUCAGUCAGUUAGCUAUCCGUGUACAGCAAGAUCUGCAAGACGGCAACCCUACGAGGGUCAAGUCGGUGUACAUGGUUGCUGUGCCAUGCCAAACUAACUAGAUCAAGCUCCCUGUGCAGUUUUUCUGGCUGUUCUUUUUUAAACUAGCCUUUUGCUAUUGUUAGAGUGACCUAGAAGUAGUCCCAAGUUUUGAGAACACAAGUCGCAUCCCCACUGCACACAGGUCUCAAGAACUGAAUGCUGAUACUCCCCAAUGUGGCUGUGCUGGUCAGUAAUCCCAGCCACAGGAGAGUCAUGAGUUCCAGAGCAUCAAAACUGUCUGAGGAAAAGCAGAGAACUGGCAGGAUGGACCCAUCAGGAAAGUGCUUUCUUUGCAAGCAGGAAGAUAGAAGUUUGUUCAUAGAAUUCAGUAAAGAAAAAUCAUCAAUUGCUAAGGCUCACUGGGCUACUUGGUGAUUUCCAGGGUAGUCAGAGACUUGGGCUCAAAAAUUAAGUGGAUGAUACCUAAGGAAUGAAGCCUAGGUUGUCUGACCUCUACAUGCAUAUGUGAUCAUGUGCAUGCAUAUAGGCAUACUUAAAAAGGAUGAAGAGAGUAGGAGGAGAGAGCUUCCUCUGGAGUAGACUGACAGUUUGCUGUAGUACCAUUUUCUUCACUGUAGGGGCGGGGACUGCACAAGGAGCUUUGUUUGAAAGGUUUUCACAAACUUUACAAAGGUUAAAGUUUGCUUUGUACUGAAUAAGAAAACAGGAAAAUUCUUGAAUAUUUUAAAGGAAUCAUCACAAAAUACAUUCUGUAUAUACAGUUCAUUAAAGCACAAGUCUUAAAUGGUAUUUUUAAGACCAAAAUUAUCUUUAGCUAUUAAUUUGUUCAUUGUACCAUAAAAGUAUGGCUGUUGAAUUAUAAUCACAAUUAAAUGAGAGUGUUGGUUUAUAACUCUAAUGAGCAGUAGUCACAUUAAACCCAAUUAGGAAAUGGUGAUUAAUGAGCAGUUGUGUAUGUUGGGUCUCCGUCAUUGUCACCGUCCCCCAAUGCCAUCCCCUAUUUAGAAGCUAUAAAUGCAGUCAUUUAGAUCUUAGCAAUGUUGAUAAUAUUUAUAAUCUAACUGCCUAAGUCAUUUUCAUUUAGGUGACUAACAGAACAUUUCAUAGAAAAACAUUGAUUUAACUAUUGUUCUUAUAAUUUGGAGGCAUAAGAGCUCCAGAAGUUAAGUAUCACAUAAAUAUUUUGUCUUCAAAGCUCACCAUUGUGCCAUCUCUCUGUAGGAGACUGUCCCCUGGCUCCUAUUGCUUACUGAGGAACAUUGUUUUUUGUUGUUUUUUUUUUUUAAUGUACUUUAUUGUUCAUCUACCUCCAUGUCCUGUUAGUGAAAAGCGGUGACCAGUGACAUCAUAACAUCAAAGCUGCUGAGUCACCCAUAGGAAAGUCAUGAAAGAAUUGCAAUCCAAGAAGAAUUCCUUCUAAUUUGCUUAACAGCCUUAUUCAGAAGCGGUGCAUUCUUCUGUUGAAGCUCUGGGGUCAGAGGCCUCUCACUGCCAGUCACGUCCUCCAUCAAGGUGGCUGAAUUAGCAGCUUGCAAAAUCUCACACCACUAAAGAAAACAACACAAACACCCUGUGAAUAUAAGUACCUUAGCUUUCUUUGAUAUUUGUUCAGAAGGAAAAUUCAUUUGUAUAAUCUAUCAACCAUGUAACAAUAUGUUUUUGAUGGUGAAAAUUGUUUUAUAAAUAUUAAUAGGUAUGCUUUUU
Meriones unguiculatus (Mongolian gerbil) is the source of this 3312-nucleotide long non-coding RNA. RefSeq lists it as uncharacterized. Lineage: Eukaryota; Metazoa; Chordata; Mammalia; Rodentia; Muridae. The transcript has 2 exons. The record is from RefSeq and is a predicted model, not a curated record.